This 354-nucleotide ribosomal RNA is filed under the name uncultured bacterium. Its description in RNAcentral is "bacterial SSU rRNA". It matches the Rfam family "Bacterial small subunit ribosomal RNA", at positions 29 to 412 of the family's 1533-position model. The record is from RNAcentral.
AACGAACGCUGGCGGCAGGCCUAACACAUGCAAGUCGAACGCUCCGCAAGGGGAGUGGCGCACGGGUGAGUAACACGUGGGAACCUACCUUCUGGUACGGAACAACCAAGGGAAACUCUGGCUGAUACCGUAUACGACCUCCGGGUGAAAGAUUGAUCGCCGGAAGAGGGGCCCGUGUCCGAUUAGGUAGUUGGUGAGGUAACGGCUCACCAAGCCUGCGAUCGGUAGCUGGUCUGAGAGGAUGACCAGCCACACUGGGACUGAGACACGGCCCAGACUCCUACGGGAGGCAGCAGUGGGGAAUAUUGGACAAUGGGCGCAAGCCUGAUCCAGCCAUGCCGCGUGAGUGAUGAA